Molecule: ribosomal RNA, 468 nt
Filed under: uncultured bacterium
Lineage: Bacteria
Description: partial 16S ribosomal RNA
Rfam family: Bacterial small subunit ribosomal RNA
Source: RNAcentral
GACGAACGCUGGCGGCGUGCUUAACACAUGCAAGUCGAACGGAAAGGCCCUGCUUUUGUGGGGUGCUCGAGUUGCGAACGGGUGAGUAACACGUGAGUAACCUGCCCUUGACUUUGGGAUAACUUCAGGAAACUGGGGCUAAUACCGGAUAGGAGCUCCUGCUGCAUGGUGGGGGUUGGAAAGUUUCGGCGGUUGGGGAUGGACUCGCGGCUUAUCAGCUUGUUGGUGGGGUAGUGGCUUACCAAGGCUUUGACGGGUAGCCGGCCUGAGAGGGUGACCGGCCACAUUGGGACUAAGAUACGGCCCAGACUGCUACGGGAGGCAGCAGUGGGGAAUAUUGCACAAUGGGCGGAAGCCUGAUACAGCGACGCCGCGUGCGGGAUGACGGCCUUCGGGGUGUAAACCGCUUUCGCCUGUGACGAAGCGUGAGUGACGGUAAUGAGUAAAGAAGCACCGGCUAACUACGUG